This 526-nucleotide long non-coding RNA is filed under the name Parus major (Great Tit). Its description in RNAcentral is "lncRNA (ENSPMJG00000007092.1)". Lineage: Eukaryota; Metazoa; Chordata; Aves; Passeriformes; Paridae. The record is from RNAcentral.
CGCUUCCCCAGCAGGCCCUGGUGCUUCCGCGGGCCCGGGGGCGGGCUAGCAGCUGUGCGUGUGGGGUGGUCGUCACCUACGUCCCUUAGGGAGUGGGCUUUCGAGCCCAAAGUUCCCCAGAUCAAACUGUUAUGUAUUCGCGCUUGGAGUUCUUGCUGUGGUGUGCAGCCGAAAUGGAGCGGCGGUGUUGUGCCCGCUUUCUUAAGCAAUUACUUUGUCGGUAGCUGAGUUUCAGUAAGUGAGGAGGACACUAAAAAUGAUGAUUAGGAGAAACUACAAGCUCAGUUGUUCAACAGCACAUUGACAGCUAUGCUGGAUUUCAGAAAUAAAUGCUAAUUGUGAUAAUGAUGAUGAUGACGUGUAUUCCUUCUGCUGAGAAAAGUUUGGUUGAUAAGGCAUUUCUCAUCCCAGCCUGUAAAGAAUCUGUGAAGCAGGGCCAUUGGACAUCUUAACAAGUGCCAUGGAGGCCCAUCACAUCCUCUGCGGUGUCUGAAGUUUGCAGACUUGUUCCCUCCGCAGCAAACAG